AUUGAACGCUGGCGGCAGGCUUAACACAUGCAAGUCGAGCGGGGAAAGGUAGCUUGCUACUCGACCUAGCGGCGGACGGGUGAGUAAUGCUUAGGAAUCUGCCUAUUAGUGGGGGACAACAUCUCGAAAGGGAUGCUAAUACCGCAUACGUCCUACGGGAGAAAGCAGGGGCCCUUCGGGCCUUGCGCUAAUAGAUGAGCCUCAGUCGGAUUAGCGAGUUGGGGGGGUAAAGGCCUACCAAGGCGACGAUCUGUAGCGGGUCUGAGAGGAUGAUCCGCCACACUGGGACUGAGACACGGCCCAGACUCCUACGGGAGGCAGCAGUGGGGAAUAUUGGACAAUGGGGGGAACCCUGAUCCAGCCAUGCCGCGUGUGUGAAGAAGGCCUUUUGGUUGUAAAGCACUUUAAGCGAGGAGGAGGCUACCGAGAUUAAUACUCUUGGAUAGUGGACGUUACUCGCAGAAUAAGCACCGGCUAACUCUGUGCCAGCCGCCGCGGUAA
RNAcentral lists this ribosomal RNA (501 nucleotides) under uncultured bacterium. RNAcentral's name for it is "partial 16S ribosomal RNA". It matches the Rfam family "Bacterial small subunit ribosomal RNA", at positions 30 to 523 of the family's 1533-position model. The record is from RNAcentral.